RNAcentral lists this ribosomal RNA (484 nucleotides) under uncultured bacterium. RNAcentral describes it as "partial 16S ribosomal RNA". It matches the Rfam family "Bacterial small subunit ribosomal RNA", at positions 30 to 507 of the family's 1533-position model. The record is from RNAcentral.
AUUGAACGCUGGCGGCAGGCCUAACACAUGCAAGUCGAGCGGAUGAAGGGAGCUUGCUCCUGGAUUCAGCGGCGGACGGGUGAGUAAUGCCUAGGAAUCUGCCUGGUAGUGGGGGAUAACGUCCGGAAACGGGCGCUAAUACCGCAUACGUCCUGAGGGAGAAAGUGGGGGAUCUUCGGACCUCACGCUAUCAGAUGAGCCUAGGUCGGAUUAGCUAGUUGGUGGGGUAAAGGCCUACCAAGGCGACGAUCCGUAACUGGUCUGAGAGGGUGAUCAGUCACACUGGGACAGAGACACGCUCCCCAGACUCCCAGGGGAGGCCGGAGUGGGAAAUUGUGGACUGGGGGCAAACGUCAGAUACAGACGUGGCGCGUGUGAAGAAGGUCUUCGGAUUGUAAAGCACUUUAAGUUGGGAGGAAGGGCAGUAAGUUAAUACCUUGCUGUUUUGACGUUACCAACAGAAUAAGCACCGGCUAACUUCGUG